ACCCAUAGUUGUGUAGCUGUACAGAGGGUGACUGACAGAGGACCAAAACGCUGGCAACUAAUGGACAUAUAGUAUAUUGUUUUGUUUUUUUACUCUGGAACCCUCUGCUACGGGAACAUAUUGAGGAUUAGCUUAGCAGCUGGUGAGAAUGUUCCAAACUAAGCACGGGAUGCUGCCAUAAAACUGGUCCGGAGACGUACUAUAUAUGGUUGUUUCCGUAUCCGAGGAGGGGACAACAAUCUGAUGUGCAGCGCUUCUGGUCACCAAGUUGUUUUCUGCCGGCAAUUAACGCACUCGAUUUGAUAUCAGGGGGACCGUCAUUGGAUUUGAAGGAAUAGGCUAACCGUCGUCGGCUGAUCAAGUGGAUUGUUUGUUGUUGGGGGUUUUUAUCACGGGGAGAGCGUUGUUCAUGUAUUGUGGAUUCCUACUUGUGGGGAGAUAUUGAGGGCUGAAGUGGCUUCGUUCAGGAGAGGCGAGGGAUCGAAGCUUCUAGCCCGGCUGAAGCACUCAGAACUGGGAUAGGCUACUGAGGAGUUCUCAUCCAUCCAAGACCGGUGCUGUGCCUGUCAAGUGGAGGGAUGGCGCUGAGGUGGGAUUCCACGCUGGUGUUGGCCGCCAUGCUUCUGGUUUGCUGUGGCGCCGAUCCCACUGACAUUCUCUACCGGAUGCUCGAGGAGCAGCCGCCCAACACGUUGAUCGGCAGCCUGGCAUCGGACGAGGGCCUGCCCGACUCAGGCCACCUGUACAAGCUGGAGGUGGGCGCCCCUUACCUGCGCGUGGAUGGCAAGACGGGAGACAUUUACACCACAGAGGUCCCCAUCGACCGUGAGACACUGCGGGACUGCCGCAACCUGCUCGAGGGCGACAAGUGCUUCCUGGAGUUCGAGGUGUCCAUCACGGACCUGAAGCAGGGCCAGGGACCGCGGCUGAUUGAGGGCCGCAUCGAGGUGCAGGACGUCAAUGACAACACACCCCAGUUCACCUCGCCCAUCCUCAUGCUGUCCAUCCCAGAGAACACACACAUCGGGGCACUCUUCUCCAUCCCCAUGGCCAGCGACAAGGACUCGGGCCACAACGGCGUAGCCGAGUACUCGCUUAGCGCCGGGCCUGACGCCGACCAGCUCUUCAACCUGCAGGUGGCCGAGGACACAGACGAGAAGCAGCCGCAGCUCAUCGUCAUGGGCAACCUGGACCGUGAGCAGAAAGACUCGUACGAUCUCAACAUCCGUGUGGUGGAUGGGGGCACACCGCCGCGAGCCAGCAGCGCCCUGCUGAGGGUGACCGUCACCGACCAGAACGACAACGCACCCAAGUUUGAGAGGAGCCACUAUGAGGCUGAGCUGGCUGAGAACAGCCCUGUGGGACACUCAGUCUUGCAGGUGAAAGCCAACGACGCUGACAUGGGUACCAACGGGGAGAUCGACUAUAGCCUGCACCAGGCCUCCGAUGCCGUCCAGAGGUUGCUACGCAUUGACCGCUCCACAGGGAUCAUCUACGUCAAGGGGCUGGUGGACCGCGAGGAGGAGAGCUUCCUCAAGUUCUUCGUGGUGGCCAAGGACCGCGGCCCCAACUCCAAGAACUCCAAAGUCCUGGUGACCAUCAACGUCAAGGACCAGAACGAUAAUGCACCCGCCAUCGAGAUCCGUGGCAUCGGCCUGGUCACCCACCACGACGGCGUGGCCAACAUCUCAGAGGACAUGCCCAUCGGCACGCCUGUGGCCCUGGUGCAGGUGUCGGAUCGUGAUGAAGGGGAAAAUGCUGUGGUCACCUGUGUGGUGGCCGGGGACGUCCCCUUCCAGCUGCGGCCCGCCAGCGAGUCAGCCAACGACCGCAAGAGGAAAUACUUCCUGCAGACCACGACCCUGCUAGACUACGAGCGCAUCAAGGACUACAGGAUUGAAAUAGUAGCGGUGGACUCCGGUAACCCUGCACUGUCCAGCACAAACUCCCUGAAGGUGCAAGUCACCGACAUGAAUGACAAUGCCCCUGUAUUCUCCCCCACCCUGUUUGAGGUGGACUUUGCAGAGGAGAAUCAGCCAGGUGAUAAGGUCCUGGAUGUGGUGGCCACGGACGCGGACAGUGGGUCCAACGCAGAGCUGACCUACAGCAUCAUCAUGGACUCGACCACUAAGGGGCUCUUUGAGAUCGACCCCAAAACGGGAGAGGUGCACGUGAGGAAUACGCUGGACCGUGAGCACAGAGAGCAGUACGAGUUCCACGUGGCAGCGGCCGAUAAGGGCUCGCCUAGCCUGAGGGGGACAGCCACGGUAGUGGUCAAGGUGCUGGACCGUAACGACAACGAACCCAAGUUCAUGUUGAGCGGCUACAGCUUCUCCGUUUUGGAGAACAUGCCUCCGCUCAGCCCUGUUGGCAUGGUGACGGUCAUCGAUGCAGAUAAGGGCGAGAACGCCAGGGUUCGGCUCUCGGUGGAGCCCGACAAUGGCAAGUUUGUCAUCCAGAAUGGCACAGGCACUAUCCUUUCCAGCAUCUCCUUUGACCGUGAGAAGGAGAGCACAUACACUUUCCGCCUCAAGGCUGUGGACGCCGGUGACCCUCCCAGGUCCUCCUACGUGGGUGUGACCAUCAACGUCUUGGACGAGAACGAUAACUCCCCCUACGUCACCAAGCCCUCUAACUCCUCCUACAAGUACCUCCCACCUCUCACGACCCCCGAGACACGCGUGGAAGUGGUGGAGGCUGAAGACAUCGACACAGGACCCAACGCCGAGCUGGUCUUCAGCAUUACCGGCGGGAACCCCUACGGACUGUUUCACAUCUCGCCCACCAAUGGGGAGAUAACCCUGGCCCAGGAGUUCACCCGCAAGCACAACGGGCUCCACCGUCUGGUGGUGAAGGUGAGCGACAAAGGCAAGCCACCACGCCACACCACCGCCCUGGUCCACAUCUUCGUCAACGAGACCAUGGGCAACAUCACCCUGAUUGAGUCUCUGGUGGGUCACAGCCUCUACACUCCUCUGGACAGAGACAUUGCCGGGGACCCCAACUACGCGCUGGCCCAGCGCAGCAAUAUCCUGUACGGCAGCCUAGCGGGCAUCGCCGGAGUCAUCCUGGUCAUCGUGGUGGUGGUGGUGAUCCGCCAUCGCAUGCAGAAGGACACCAAGAGCGGCUACCAGGCGGGCAAGAAGGAGAGUAAGGACCUGUACGCCCCCAAAGCAGGGCCCAAGAAUGGCAAGGGCAAAAAGAGCAAGAAGGGCAAGGUGCCCAAGCCCACCAAGCCACUGGAGGAGGAUGAAGAGGCCAGCCUCCAGAAGGGCCUCAACUUCAACCUCAUAAACGAUAGUGUCAAUGACAGUCCCCGGAUCCACCUGCCCCUCAACUACCCCCCGGGCAGCCCCGACCUGGGCAGACACUACCGCUCCAACUCCCCACUGCCCUCCAUCCAGCUGCAGCCCCAGUCCCCCUCUGCCUCCAAGAAGCACCAAGCCGUUCAGGACCUGCCUGCCACCAACACCUUUGUGGGCACAGGUGACAACAACUCUACAGGCUCCGAUCAAUAUUCGGAUUACAGCUACAAGGCAAACCCGCCGAAAUACAGCAACAAACAGAAUUGACAGAAGACCCCAUGGUGGUGUCCAUGUGCUGACUGACCAGCAGUGGUGGAAAUGUCGAGGGCCAGGAAUGACAUACGGCUGUCUGAAAUAAAGCAGGCCAUUGAGGAGAACGAUGACA
RNAcentral lists this long non-coding RNA (3690 nucleotides) under Salmo salar (Atlantic salmon). RNAcentral describes it as "lncRNA (ENSSSAG00000002398.2)". The record is from RNAcentral. Lineage: Eukaryota; Metazoa; Chordata; Actinopteri; Salmoniformes; Salmonidae.